GACGAACGCUGGCGGCGUGCCUAAUACAUGCAAGUCGAACGGAAAGGCCCUGCUUUUGUGGCGUGCUCGAGUGGCGAACGGGUGAGUAACACGCGAGUAACCUGCCCUUGUCUUUGGGAUAACUUCAGGAAACUGGGGCUAAUACCGGAUAGGAGCUCCUGCUGCAUGGUGGGGGUUGGAAAGUGUCGGCGGUUGGGGCUAGAUUCGCGGCUUAUCAGCUUGUUGGUGGGGUAGUGGCUGACCAAGGGUUUGACGGGUAGCCGGCCUGGGAGGGGGACCGGGGACCAUGGGACUACGGGAGGCCGCAGUAUGGAACCUGAGGCAGUGGGGGAAAGUCUUACGCAGUAGGGGCGAGCCAGUUACGACGGCGUCGGGUGCGGAAUGACGGGCUUUGAGUGAAGAACCACUGUCGACUGUGACGAAGCGUGAGUGACGGUAACGGAUAAGAAAGCACCGGCUAACUACGUG
RNAcentral lists this ribosomal RNA (468 nucleotides) under uncultured bacterium. Its description in RNAcentral is "partial 16S ribosomal RNA". It matches the Rfam family "Bacterial small subunit ribosomal RNA", at positions 28 to 507 of the family's 1533-position model. The record is from RNAcentral.